AACGAACGCUGGCGGCAUGCCUAACACAUGCAAGUCGAACGAGACCUUCGGGUCUAGUGGCGCACGGGUGCGUAACGCGUGGGAACCUGCCCUUAGGUUCGGAAUAACUCCCCGAAAGGGGUGCUAAUACCGGAUAAUGUCUUCGGACCAAAGAUUUAUCGCCUUUGGAUGGGCCCGCGUUGGAUUAGCUAGUUGGUAGGGUAAAAGCCUACCAAGGCGACGAUCCAUAGCUGGUCUGAGAGGAUGAUCAGCCACACUGGGACUGAGACACGGCCCAGACUCCUACGGGAGGCAGCAGUGGGGAAUAUUGGACAAUGGGCGAAAGCCUGAUCCAGCAAUGCCGCGUGAGUGAUGAAGGCCUUAGGGUUGUAAAUCUCUUUUACCCGGGAUGAUAAUGACAGUACCGGGAGAAUAAGCACCGGCUAACUCCGUG
RNAcentral lists this ribosomal RNA (433 nucleotides) under uncultured bacterium. RNAcentral's name for it is "partial 16S ribosomal RNA". It matches the Rfam family "Bacterial small subunit ribosomal RNA", at positions 29 to 507 of the family's 1533-position model. The record is from RNAcentral.